GAAACCAACGUUUGAAUCGCUACCAAAUUACUGUUGUGCACAUUGGACUCUCUGCGCACCACCAUGCAUGUCUUCAUCAUCUUCAUCGUAUGCCUCUUGUGCCUGUUGCUGCUUCCUACGCAUCUCCUCUUCGAUGUUGACAUCAUGUAAGGUGGUCUCCUCGCACUCAUCCAAUUCCAUGUCAGUCAUUUGUGUUUUGGGUUUUGCUGGCAGCACUGCUUCGAGGUUCUUGCACUGAUCGGGGGAUAAUGUGUCGGGGAAUUCUACAGUAAAGUGAAUGUAUAAUUUUCCUCUCAUAAAUGGCCUUCCGUACAUAGGCAUUCCUUCAUCAUUUAUGGCCUUAAAUUGAUCUGUUGAGGUCAAAAAUGAAGUUCACAAUUGAAAUCUAGCAUACUGAUACCACGGAUAAUAAAGGACAGACAAUUUCUACAAACAACAGGAGAUAGUCAUACAGACAGUGUGAGCAAGCGGAGAACUAUUCGACUUGCAUAGUGUAUAAGGGAGACCGCGAUAUCUCAGGAAGUCCGAGGCAAAUAUUAGAACGUAAAAGCAACUGAAGUACUUUAGGCUUACCAGGCUUGACAACUUCUCCGGGUUGGGACUUGAUGAUCAGCUGUCUGUUGUCCAGAUGAGUCAAGAUAAACUGGAAACCGCAUAGGGCCUCGGUCAAGCUCAAGGUGUGCUCUACAAAGAGAUCAUCACCCUUGCGCUUAAACUUGGGAUGCUCCUUCUGUUGCAAGACAAAAACUAUGUCCCCAGUGACUGUAUCAGGCUGCCAAAGAAUAAACAUAAACCAAGUAAAGAUCAGCGGUCCCCUAUUAAUAACAUAGGAUUGAUCAUUACGACAUAAAAUCAUAAACUACUUCAAACGCUAAUUGCAUGUCUUACUGCUUCAUCAGCCUCGCCCGGAAAUGUUAUCUUUUGUCCGUUCUGCAUACCCUUCUCCACAACAACUUCCAACACCUUCUUCUCCUGUACGACCUUCUCACCUUUACACUGCCCACAUCUAUCUUUAUCAUUGAUCAUCUCACCAGUACCCUUACACUCAUUGCAAGGGUGCUGCAUCUGCUGGAUCAUGGAUGGGCCAAGUUGUCUGAUAGUGACUUUCAUCCCAGAUCCUUGACAGCCAGAACAUUUCAUUGAAGCACCUGAU
RNAcentral lists this long non-coding RNA (1153 nucleotides) under Capsicum annuum. RNAcentral's name for it is "long non-coding RNA (CANN_LNC009016)". The record is from RNAcentral. Lineage: Eukaryota; Viridiplantae; Streptophyta; Magnoliopsida; Solanales; Solanaceae.